Molecule: RNA transcript, 11509 nt
Organism: Columba livia (rock pigeon)
Lineage: Eukaryota; Metazoa; Chordata; Aves; Columbiformes; Columbidae
Gene: MFHAS1
Gene name: multifunctional ROCO family signaling regulator 1
Exons: 3
Source: RefSeq, a predicted model, not a curated record
UUAGGUUCCUGGUAAAGCACCAGAGCUUUCCUCCUUGGACAACCUCCGAGCAGCACCAGGAGUGUCUUUGUGCCAGCAUGCUGCUCAUCAUGUUUUUUCUGGCGUAGCUUCUUUCACCACCUACAGGAGCUCACCAAAGGUUGACUUGUGCUGCAUGACUUUCUUCCCCUCUUCAUUACCUUUGGGAGGCAUUUAGCUCCUGCUGCUUUGCAUAUUUUGUGAUAGGGUUUUUCACAGGCAAAACUUCUGCUGCUUAGACCAGUUCCCUGGCUGUCCUUGCGUGCUGUCAGAAAGAUGUAUUUAAUACAGGCCAUGACCUCUAGUAGCAGGCAAACAGAGAUAAGUGCUUCUCUCUCUGGUAUUUUUCAGCUGGCUGAGUCAAGCAGCUGCUCAAAGUGUCCCUGCUGGAGGGGUAUGUCCAGUGUUCCCAUGGGAAACAAAAUGGUAGUGCAGAGUGGCAGCCUUUCAGGUUACAUUUGCUGCAGAUCAUAGAACAACUGAGUGCCUUGCCUUGGCUUCAGAGAGGAUCUGCAGUGCCCAUGGACAUCAUGGGGUGAGUGGUCCCCAAUGAUGCUGCUGCUUUCUUUGUCUUUACCUUCACAAGACACAGGGAGGAAGAAAAUUAGCUACAAGUUUUAUGCUGGAGUCAAUUUUCCCUCCAGAGAUCUUUUUUUUCUAGAAGCAUUAUCUUGAUUUUAAAAUGUGAUUUUGAUAGUGACAGGCCGAGUGACUUUGCAUGUAGAGAGCUGGAAGUGAAACCAUUGGCUGACCUGUUAUCACAACAGCAACUGGGGAAGAGGAUGUGGGAAGAGAAUUACUCUUUCCAAGGAGGAACUGAAUGUGCUACUUUUGAAGUGUGGAAGGAGACAGCUCCUUUCAGCACACAGAGGAGGGCUCUAUUUCCCAAGUGAUCUUCAGGAAAAGCAAAGACACAAAAACUGGGUUAGCCCAAAUAAAAGAUGUACUCACCCAAUGCCAGGAUGCUCUGAAAAUAAAUGAAGGCAAGCCUGGAAACUAGCUCUAAAUGGGCACAAUUAAGCAAGAGGCCAUGAAGUAUCUGUUUCCUGGUGUCAGGAUCAGACACCAGCCAAGCAGGAAGAAUGGGAAGAGUUUUAUCCCCAGGUUCAGUCCCUCUCAGUAGAGCCUCCUGGUUCAUGAGUUUCCCUGCAUACCUGUUCCCCCUGAGCCCAAGUAGUGUCCAUGGAGCCAAACCAUGGCCCCAGACCCCAUGACUGCCUCUGCUGGCUUUGGACAGAUCCUGAACCUGGCUUGAAGCUGGGUCUUACCUUCACACAGCCAUGCUUUCUCACAGGGCCGUGGGCUUUCCUCCGUUUCCUUUGCAUCCUUUGUUUGGCUUUACCAGCCAACACUGCAGUUUUUUCCCUACGCAGGAGUGACCUCAUGCUCAGGAAAGCAUUUGGCAGAAACGUGCUCAAGGUUUCUUAAGAUUCAAAGGGCCUGAAAAGACGAUUUUGCACCUGCAUGUCUGUUGCUGAUGGCAAAGACAGCAACUGAACCUGAGCCUUUGUGAUCUGUAGUUUUAGUAGUGAGUAAAUUUAGUAAUUUGGUGCAGUGACUAUGCACCGUGUCAGUUCAGCUCUCUUCUUCUGCACAAGUGGGAAAUGUGGUUAGAUGUGCAGGGCUGUCCAAAAGAGAAGGUGUCAUUCUUGUGAGGGCUCUCCACAAUAAAAAAAAGAAUAAAGGCUGUGAAACUGUUUUCCCCAUGGGUCACCCUUCAUUUCAAAUCCUUUGCUGUCUCUUCAUGGCUCUGAAGUAAUAGCUGACAGCAUGCUUUAAUGGUAGCUGUUACAACAUGGCAAAGUGAGAGGAAGCCACUAUUCUCAAGCCCCCAAAGCAGGCUGGUCUACUCAGUGCUGUACAAAGACAGUGACAUUUUAAAACCUCUGAACCUUUGGGCAUGGUGUAUCACUGGCAUUUGUAAGGAUAACGUCACACUACUCGAGAGAUCUGAGUGUCCACAGCCUCUGUCAGCCUGCCUCACCGCCCUGCUAUAGAACGACCCUGUUUUCCCUUCUAUUUCCAUCACUGUUUCCCCAAUGGUGGACAUUUCUGGGCAUAUUUCUUCGAGCCCUAGGAGCAAAGCUUGACUGAGGAUCGUGAAGAAGGCAGUGUUUAGGGUCUGGCCAGAUGUACACAGCAACGGAAACAAAGCACGGCAGGAAGGUGGCAGAGUUGCUCUGACUAAUAAGAAGGUCACCGGCUUUCUCACCCUCCAACACGGAAACACCCGUAUUUGAUACGACUAAGGUUAAUCUCGGUUUCAUGCGGGGCUGGAUAAAAACAAACAAACAAACCAACCAAAAAACGCCCUUUGCCUGGUGCGGGGAUCAGCACCACAACAGCUUUUGCUGUUACUCCACGGGGUGAGCUGUGCUCAGUCACCCGAGCGGUUCACAAACCUCGCAGCAAGACCAAGGGCAGGGAGAGAUCCAGCGGCUGCAGCCACACGCCGGCGAUCCAGGGAACCGCCGGCACCGGCGGGCUCACCCCACCGGGGGCACCCGAGGGGCCCCAGGGAGGCGGCGGGGCCGCUCUCUGGGCCGUGCCAGGCGGAGCAAGGGGCAGGAGCUGAGAGGCUCGGGCCGGACGUGGGGACCCUUCCUCCCCGGGAGCAGAGGCCGGGGCGGGGAGUCGCGGAGCCGCCCGCCCCCACGGCAGGGCCGGCGCUCCCCGGCGCGGCGGGGGCGGUGCAGGAGCCCCCGGGGGCGGUGCGGGGCGGACCGUUGUCCGCGUCCCGCCCCCGGCGGGGCGGUAGUGGCGGUUACGUGCGCGGGGCGGCGCGGCUGGUAGUGCCGGCGCGGAGCCGCGGGGAGCCCCGGUCUCGUCGCGGUGGUGGUGGUGGCGGCGGCGCCGCUCAGCGCGGCCGCGCCCAUGGCGAGCGGCGGCGGCGGCGGCAGCGGCAGGUAGGGCGGAGCGGGGCGGGGACCCGCUCCCCCGGCCAUGGCGCAGACGGAGCCCCCAAAGGCGGUGCGGCUGUGGCGCGACGCCGCCCUGCGCGCACGGAAGCUGCGGGGCGGCUCCGGCGAGCCCGAGUCCGAGCCAGAGCCGGACGCGGGGCCGCCGGGGGGGCCGCCGUCGCCCCCCGCUGCCGCGCCCCGCCGCUCACCCCCGGCGGCGGCCCUGGGGGAACUGGAGGCGCUGAACCUGAGCGGGCGGGGGCUGGAGGAGCUGCCCGAGGAGGUGGGCGCCGCCCUGAGCGGGCUGCGGGUGCUCAGCUUGCGGCGUAACCGGCUGAGCCGUCUGCCCGACGCUGCCCUGCGCCACCUGAGCCGCCUGGCCGAGCUGGACCUCAGCCACAACCGGCUGCGGGGCCUGGGGGACGGCGGGGCUCUGGCGGGGCUGCGGGGCCUGCGCAAGCUCAGCCUCAGCCACAACGAGCUGGGCGCCGAGGGCCCGGGUCUGCCCCCCUGCCUCGCCGAGCUGCGCUGCCUCGAGGAGCUCGACCUCAGCUUCAACCGCCUGCGCCGCCUCCCCGAGGGCCUGGGCCACCUGCAGCACCUCCGUGCCCUCGACGUCGACCACAACUUGCUGCCAUCCUUCCCCACCCUGCUGCUGGAGCUGGGCGCCCUGGAGGAGCUCGACUGCUCUGGCAACCGCCACCUCGGGGCCCUGCCCGAGGGCAUCUCUGCUCUCCGUCGCCUCAAGAUCCUUUGGCUGAGCGGCACGGGGCUGGCAGCUCUGCCCGAGGGCCUCUGCCAGCUGAGCGCCCUUGAGAGCCUCAUGCUGGAUGGCAACCGGCUGCAGGCCCUGCCCGCUGGCUUUGGCAGCCUCCAGCGGCUCAAGAUGCUGAACCUCUCCUCCAAUCUGCUGGGGGAAUUCCCUACUGCCAUCUUGGCGCUGCCCAGUCUGGAGGAGCUCUACCUGAGCCGCAACCAGCUCACCCUGCUGCCGCCUCGACUCUGUCAGCUCCACCAGCUUCGCACCCUCUGGCUGGACAACAACCGUAUCCGCUACCUGCCUGACUCCAUUGUGCUUCUCCACAGCCUGGAGGAGCUGGUCCUGCAAGGCAACCAGAUUGCCAUCCUGCCGGAGGGCUUUGGGCAGCUUUCUCGUGUCACCCUGUGGAAGAUCAAAGACAACCCCCUCAUCCAGCCCCCCUAUGAGGUGUGCAUGAAAGGCAUCCCCUACAUUGCAGCCUACCAGCAGGAGCUGGCCCACUCCCAGCCUGCCCUCAAACCCCGCCUCAAGCUGGUCCUUGUGGGGCUGAAGGAUGCAGGAAAGACCCUGCUGAGACGGUGCCUCAUGGAGGAGGAUGGGCAGAGGGAUGAUGUGGGAAGUCUGGAGGCAGGGAGCACCCAGCCGAGAGAGAGCCCUAGGCAGCUGCAGGACAUUGGGAGAGUGCCAGUUGGGUGUUGCCCCUCCCUGGAGUCUCGGGGUACUUCUUCAGCCCAGGUACCUGCCAUGCAGCAGCUGGAACAUCUCCCCAUUGAGCAGCAGGACUUCCCUUCUCAUGUGCCCUCUCACCGAGUGAAAGGGGAAACACCGUGCCCUAUGCUGUCACUACCUCUGAAUGCCCCACAAAUACCAUCAGGACUGGGACUGUCAGGAGGCAGCAAGGGCAUUGAGGUAAUGGACUGGACAGCAGAUGCAGACAGGGGCCUGACAUUCAUUGUGUAUGAGCUGGCAGGGGACCGCAGCUAUGAUGUGAUCCAGUCUUUCUUCCUCUCUCCUGGAGCCUUGUAUGUGCUGGUGGUGAAUUUGAGUGCCUACGUCCCUCAGCACUUCUACCCCUCUGUGGGCUAUUUCUUGCACUGGCUCGGUUCCAAGGUGCCCCAUGCUGUGGUGUGCAUGGUGGGAACCCAUGCUGACCUCUGUGCAGAGCGGGAGUUGGAAGAGAAGUGCCUGGACAUCCAUCAUCAGAUUGCUCAGCAGGAGAAGAGGGAUGCUGAGGGCCUCCAGAGCUUGGUCCAGCAGGUGGACGAGGCUCUGGGACAGGACUUUGACCUGCGCUGCUCCAACCCACAUGCUGCCUUUUAUGGGGUCUCAGACAAGAACCUGCGGCGAAAAAAAGCCCAGUUUCAGUACCUUCUCAACCACCGCCCACAGAUCCUCUCUCCAGUGCUGCCUUUCAGCUGCUGGGACCGUUGCCAGGUGCGUCGCCUGCGAGACAAGCUACUCUCGGUGGCUGAGCACCGGGAUAUCUUCCCGAACCUGCACCGGGUGUUGCCCAGGUCCUGGCAAGUGCUGGAAGAGCUGCACUUCCAGCCACAAGCUCAGCAGCUGUGGCUUAGCUGGUGGGACUCUGCUCGGUUGGGCUUGCAGGCAGGCCUGACAGAGGAUCGGCUCCAGAGUGCCCUGUCCUACUUGCAUGAGAGUGGAAAGCUGCUUUACUUCGAGGAGCACCUCACCUUGAGGGAGUAUGUGUUCCACAACCUGCCGCUGCUCAUUGACAUCCUCAACAUCUUCUGCCAGCGGGAUGCCACUGUGCUGCUCCAGAAACUGCUCAGCGACACCCACAUUGACGAACUGAGGGCCACUCAGCUCCAUCAUUAUGUGGAAGGCUUCUUGCUGCAUGGCCUCCUCCCUGCCCAUGUCAUCCGUCUCCUCCUUAAGCCCCACAUCCAGAGCCGGGAGGAUCUGCAGCUCAUCCUGGAGCUGCUGGAGAAGAUGGGGCUCUGUUACUGUGUCAACAAACCCAAAUGCAAGCCCCUAAAUGGGGCAGCUGCUUGGUACAAGUUUCCCUGCUACGUGAAAAAUAAGGUGCCCCAUGCAGAGGCGUGGAUCAACAGUGCCAACCUGAGUGGACAGUCCUUCGUGGUGGAGCAGCUGCAGAUUGAAUAUAGCUUUCCAUUCAUUUUCCCACCCGGCUUGUUUGCACGCUACAGUGUUCAGAUUAACAGCCACGUGGUUCAGCGGUCAGAUGGCAAAUACCAGAUCUAUGCCUACCGGGGAAAGGUGCCCGUGGUGGUGAGUUACCGGCCUGCCAGGGGAUCUGUGCAGCCAGAUACUCUGUCUAUUGCUAGUCAUGCGUCCCUACCAAAUAUCUGGACAGCUUGGCAAGCUAUUACCCCCUUAGUGGAAGAACUGAAUGUUCUGCUUCAGGAAUGGCCAGGCCUGUACUACACUGUGCACGUCCUCUGUUCAAAGUGCCUUAAAAGAGGGUCACCCAACCCACACACUUUUCCAGGAGAACUGCUGAGUCAGCCAAGACCAGAGGGACUGACGGAGAUCAUCUGUCCCAAGAACGGCAGCGAGCGAGUUAAUGUUGCCUUGGUUUACCCCCCUACUCCUACUGUGACCAGCCCUUGUUCCAAGUGAGACCUGAAAGCAGACCCCCAUUCCCCUGUCAAUAGACACCAGAAAGCCUACAUAAAACAUGCACUUUCUAAGCAUUUUUUCUGGAAGGUAGCAGCCCCACAGCCUGGGGACUGUCCUAAUUAUUUGUGGAUAUAGACAGCCCACUCAAAGGAUAAGAGGUACAGUAAAAUGGGUUGAGGUGUUCCGUGAGCUAUGUUGUGACAGGUGAAAGGCACACAUAGUGGGCAGGACAGAUCAGGAGAUCAGCCUUAGGUAGGUCAGGACCUCAGGUCCAUGUCCACUCCCUGCUCCAAGCAGGGCCACCCUUGCAGCUGAGUUAGAUUGCUUGAGACCUUGUAUUAGGCAAGGGUUGAUGACUGCCAAGGGUGGAGGAUACCUCUCUGGACUCUAGAGGUACACUGUUCACCUAGGGCAGAACUUUUUUCCUUGUGUCCUGUCUGAGUCUCCCUUACUACAGUUUGGCUCUCAUUGUCACAAAGGUGGACUGCUGGCUUGUUUUCAACAUGUUCUUCACCAGAUCCCAAGGCAGUUGGACCCCAGGCUAUGGUGGUACAUGGGGUUGUCCUGUUCUAGGUGUAGGGCUAUGUACUUAUCCUUGUUGAAUUUCACAGCACUGUUGUUGGCCCAACUUGGUGAGGUCCCUCUGGACAGGAGCUCUGCCCACCUGUGUGUCAAUAGCCCAUAUGUCCUCCAUUCCACAGAGUGGGGAUGUGCUUGGAAAACAGUGCUGUGUUGUAGUGGGAACAAAUGUGGAACAGCACUCGCAAAAACAGGCUUUUUGAUGCAUAGGUUUUCUUGCAGAACAGAAAUGCAGCCAUGGCCUGCUCUCCUUCGAGUGGCACAAGGGAAUUUGACAGGAACCUUAGAAGAGUGAGCCAAGUGUCUUGCUGGUGGCUGCUACUAUGCUGCAUGUGAAUACAUAUGACUUUAACUUCAGUAUCUGCAAGUAGCUUUGGAUGCUGUUCUCUCUGUUCAGUACCGUCCCACCCCAAAAUACGCUCAUCCUGCUGAAGAAUAGCUGUUGACCUGUGUGUGAAGGUGAAGUUGCCACCUGGGGGAGGAAACAAGAUAAGUCGUCAGUGCUGGUGCCAAAGGUUUUCCACCAGGCAGAACAUGGCUGAUGCUCUGCAGUGCUCCCAUCUCUCCAGCUGAGGAGUUGCAUGCUGAUGGGGACCGAUGGGACUUUGGACUCUGAAAUGCUGUGGGGUGGGGGCAGCUCCCAGGUGGGGGCCUCGUGGCUGGAGUGGAUGCAGUCACCUGGAGAUCAGGGACAACAACAAGGCGUGAAGCAAAACGAUUGCUGCAGAUGGCAGAGCCACUGGCCAGAGGGAAAGCACUGGGGAUAGGAUUCUGUGGACGCAUUGAUCGCGUGUUGAAAACCCAUUUGGAUCUCAUGAUGAAUGUAAAAAUGUUCUUGGUACCAUUUAAUUCAGACCUGCUUGGAGGAAAGGCUCUUGAAAUGAGCUGUAGCGGGAUUCCCUGGAUUUGUUCCUGGACAAGUGAGUUUUGUGGCAGGUGGCCAAGGCUUCGGCAGGGAGGGGGUGAAUGCUGUGAAGCCUUUAAAAUUGCUCCACUGCAAAACAGUUGGCUGUGUCCCACACAGCAGACUUGGGCGGUGGCAGCAGAGCUGGGAAGUGUUUCCUGCCUUGUGUGUUCACAUACACUGUGCCAUGAAGUAGUAAAGAUGUCUUGUAAUCACACAGGAAUGGAAGAAGGGCAGUCACUGUGCCCCCGGCACUUGACAUUUCUUCCUGAUCACUAGCCCCCAACAGCUCAUUUUCUGCCAUGCCUGGAUGCUCUGGAGUUGCCAUUGUGGUAUUCUCCGUGCAUCGAGGCCACUAGAGCAGUAGAAAUCUAGAUCUGGGUCCUCCUCCUCCUAGCAAAGCCACCCAGGCAUCAUUGUGCAGAGAUCUAGUGAAGCAGCGCAUGACUGUGUUGUACAAACUGGCCCUGAUGCCCUUGGGCUGACUCUGGCAGCUGUGCUUCUUGGGCAGCCAUUCUCCCUGGGCCAGAUGUGGUAAAGGGCACGCUGAGCACUGCCACAACAGUGCUGAUUUCUCUCCUGACUAGAUGGUUUUUGAGGACUUCUGAGAUGUCGCUGUCAGUUUGUGCCCUACAGCUGAGCCCUGAUAACUGGGGUGUAUGAGUCCCACUCCAUGCAAAUAUUUGAUUUUGUGUAAACUGAAUAGGAAGCAGGCAUUUCCAGAGCCAGGAUCCCUUCAUCAUAUGCUGGUAGAGGUCUGAGAGGUGAGGGACUUAAAAUGUUUAUGUUAAUGUUCAACUAUUAACCCUUCAGGCUGUGUUGGCAGACCUGGGAUGGGUGAUACUGGUCAGCAGGAAGUCCCCACCAGGAUGCAGGCUGGCCAGGCCUGCAGCCAGUGCAAGACAGUGACAUGCAUCCUGCUGGGACUUGCUGCUGUUCCACAGGUUCUGUUCCCCUGGCUUCUGGUCCUUCAAAUACCAUCCUUGUUUGUAGGGCUGCAAAUAUCCCCCUUGGCAGGAACUUAACACUGGGAGAUGCAGGGCAGAACCCACUCUAGAGGGAGAUUGUGGAGGCCAGGUAGAAGAAAUCAAGCUAUGGUGCCUCACCUCAGGGAGAAAGCUGCCAAAUGAAAUCUUGGCAGCUCAGUCAGCUGCACCUCUCUUCAGGGUAUCAUUCCAGCUGGGGGGAGCUUGGGCUCAGAUUUCGUGUGUCGACCUGCCACCUGUGACAAUGGGCAUCUGAACCUUUCUUAUGCAAGUGAGAAGCAUUAAUUGAUUGUGCUUCUGUAUCCCUACAGAUGAAUUGGGGACUAGAAAUUGCCUGUGGUGGCUGGAGGGAAUAGAAGGGAGGUGAGAUUUUUGAGUGGUGCCAAGAAUAGUGGCUGGGAAACUCCCUUGUGCUGAGUCUUGCUGCCCAUGAGACAUGAAGGGCCCAGGUAUAGCCAAAAUUUAUGUUAGGGCAUUCCCUACUGUCACCUCCCAUGCUGGGUGGCAUUCUGCUCUCUUUGCUGCUACUUACCUCUCUCUUUCCAUUCUUCAUAGGAAGAAACUAGCAAUUUGUUGCUGUGACCAUUGCGUGGAAACCACAUUGUAACGAAACCACAAACUGGAAUCCUUUUCUAGCCGGAGGCCUGUUUCCCAGUGCGCCCAUCUGGUCUGGGAUGCGUGAGCAUUGAAGGAGUGAGAGGACAGAGCAGACAUCUUACAGCCUGCUUCUUGGGACCACAGCCCUCCUGCCGGGGCACACCACCACAGCGGGAGCACUGCAUUACCUGGCCUUUGCAGGGACUCAUUCGGCUGCGUGCACUGAAGCCAUAAUGCCAGCAGUGUGGCAGUGUGGAGAUCAGUCUAGUUGGGUCUAUUUAAUGUGAAAUGGUGAUCACUCAUCCGCCCACUGUUAUGUAACUGGUGUUAACUGUUUUCAUCUGUGUUUUUUUUUUUAAUAUGCAAAAGCUAUUUAAUUUUCUAUGCAGUUCAAAAAUGUCUCCCCUUUGCAACUGCCAGGUGGGAGAUCUCUGCAGAAGAACCAAGCCAAGUGGCUGACAGUUCUUUUGAUUUUGCUGUCACACUUUUUUAAGGAUGUAUCCUGGAGUCUUGUGCACACAGUGUCCCUUCAGUGAGCUCCUGCCUGUUAGACCCCACUUAACAUCCCUGAGCCACAGGGAUGAGAGCCCUGUAUUUUUGGAGGAUCUGUCCUCUUUCAUGAGUCAGGCCACAAGGAAAGAGCUUGAAGGCAGUGCCGUAAGAGCAGAGAUAACCAAGUUCAGAGCAUGUAUUACAUUCUUGUUCUUGGCCCUGCUUGGAGAGUUACUGAACUGUUAGAAACGACUAAGGCCUAUGUGGAGCACCCUGUACCCCUUACUGAAAGUGUUAUGAAGAGGUUGGAAAGCACUGGGGCAUCAAGUGUCUCCCUGUGGAGCUAACAGUGAAUUUAGCCCCUUUGGAAUAGGAGGAAAAUCUCCUGGUACUAGAUGCCUGCUUCACUCAAGAGGACUGUGCUGGUUUUGCUUAUUGGUUUGCAGACCUCUUGCUUGCUGACCAGUUGAUUUCCUACUGAAACUGGUGCAGACAGGUUUGGAAGCAGAGCUGGCAAGUUGCUUUGCACUGCAGGACUUCUGGCACCUGGAACGUGUCCUGGAGUGUGUUGUGUUAUUCUCCAAAGCAAAACCUGAGAUUCAAAUCUGCAUCCGUCCAAAUGAAACUCCCAGGAUAGCAGCUUUGCCUUCUGCUGCGUCUGUAUAACACAUGAGAAAUUGCAUGUCCCUAAACAGCACACAAAUGUGUUGAGGUAGAGUGAGAGGGAGCGUGAAGGGUGAUGCUGCACAUCCAGCUCAUCUUAGGGUUUGCAGGGAUACUUGGAGGCCUCUGGCAACUGCAGAGGAGAGGGUCCUGGGAUACCUCUGCUUUAAUUGUGCUAUAGGCAAAAAGAUCAGAGAAAUCAGGUCUGUUUCCAACCUGACACAAGGCCAGGAUGCAUUUGACUAGUCUUUUUUUGUGUCAAUACUGUUCUUUCGGCAUUCUCUGCUCUGAGCUUGGGGGAUUCAGCUUUAAAAUUAAACAGAAAUAGAGACCAGAUUGGGAUGUCACCUGCCUUGUGAUCUCUCAAAUCAGAUGGAAGAGAGCGGGGGCUGCAGAAGUACAGGUCAUCUCCCUUGCAGCUUUCCCCAUGCUACAGUUCCACAGUGGCUGUGAAAACCACACAACAGUGCAUUUGGGUGCUGCUUUCCCAGGAACCCAAGAUGUGCUUGGCUGCGCUGUAGCACUAGAGCUUACAUGGGGUCUGUGUUCCCUUCCCCUUUGUACCUCUGAGGUGGUUAAAGUUUGCCAGAGCAGUAGGGUCUCCUCACUGAAGUUGUGUUAAAGGGAACUGCAAAUAGCAUUUAGGAGCUCACUAAGUGAGGCAAAAACCCACUGGCUAACUCCUGCAGAGCCAGAUCCUGGAGCUCAGGUCCUCCCGUGCCCUUUGUGUGGGAUCUUGGGCUGGUAUCCUUGCAACAGCAGUGCCGGGAGCUGGAGACACUGCACUGCAGUAAGCACAAGAAGAGGCAAGCCAAGUGAGCCUCAGUGUAGCACUCAUCACACACUUCAUGGCUCAGUUCGUGGACUGUAAUUGCAGAUAUUCAUAUAAUCUACACCCCUGGGCAGGACUCUGCGCACACGCACAUGCAUGCCCAGACAUACACCACGCGCACACUCACCCACACAUCCUUGCCAAAACAACUGAAAAUAAAAGUGAUCUCAAUCUCAA